UACGGGGGGAGCAAGCGUUGUUCGGAUUUACUGGGCGUAAAGGGCGCGUAGGCGGCGUAACACGUCACUUGUGAAAUCUCCGGGCUUAACCCGGAGCGGCCAAGUGAUACUGUUGUGCUAGAGUGCGGAAGGGGCUACUGGAAUUCCUGGUGUAGCGGUGGAAUGCGCAGAUAUCAGGAGGAACACCGGUGGCGAAGGCGGGUCUCUGGGCCGUAACUGACGCUGAGGAGCGAAAGCAUGGGGAGCGAACAGG
This 253-nucleotide ribosomal RNA is filed under the name uncultured bacterium. Its description in RNAcentral is "partial 16S ribosomal RNA". It matches the Rfam family "Bacterial small subunit ribosomal RNA", at positions 524 to 776 of the family's 1533-position model. The record is from RNAcentral.